This 520-nucleotide ribosomal RNA is filed under the name uncultured marine bacterium. RNAcentral's name for it is "bacterial SSU rRNA". It matches the Rfam family "Bacterial small subunit ribosomal RNA", at positions 60 to 576 of the family's 1533-position model. The record is from RNAcentral.
AGUCGUGCGGUAACACUUCGGGUGACGAGCGGCGGACGGGUGCGUAACGCGUGAGAAUCUACCUUUUAGUGGGGGACAACUCGGGGAAACUCGAGCUAAUACCGCAUGUGUCCUACGGGAUAAAGCAGGGGAUCUUCGGACCUUGUGCUAAAAGAUGAGCUCGCGUGAGAUUAGCUUGUUGGUAGGGUAAUGGCCUACCAAGGCGACGAUCUCUAGCUGGUCUGAGAGGAUGAUCAGCCACACUGGGACUGAGACACGGCCCAGACUCCUACGGGAGGCAGCAGUGGGGAAUAUUGGACAAUGGGGGCAACCCUGAUCCAGCAAUUCCGCGUGUGUGAAGAAGGCCUGCGGGUUGUAAAGCACUUUCAGUAGCCAAGAUGGGGUUAUUCGCUAAUAUCGGAUAAUCUUGACAUUAACUACAGAAGAAGCACCGGCUAACUCCGUGCCAGCAGCCGCGGUAAAUACGGAGGGUGCAAAGCGUUAAAUCGGAAUUUACUGGGGCGUAAAAGAGUACGUAGGC